This is a long non-coding RNA of Silurus meridionalis, 967 nucleotides long. RefSeq lists it as uncharacterized. NCBI's taxonomy places the organism in Eukaryota, Metazoa, Chordata, Actinopteri, Siluriformes, Siluridae. The record is from RefSeq and is a predicted model, not a curated record. The transcript has 3 exons.
ACUUUGCAUAAUCUCACUAGUUAAAGCUAAUUGUUUUAAUUUCAACCACCAAUAAAACCUCCAGAAUGGUCAUGAGUGCAUCUGUUACUUAAUCACAGAAGUGAAAACUGUAACUGGUUGUUACUGGGAAUAAUCUGGUUGGCAAUUUCUCAGCAGUCAUCGAAGAGUAAAGUUCCAGGAAAAGACAUUCAAGGAAACCACAGAGGCACCAGGAUGAAACCACAAAGUCUUAAUACCGUACUCUCCUCUGACUCUGCUCUUGGUACUCGUGUCUUCUCGUGGCCUUUGGAAAUCACCCUCUCGUGCCGGCACUAAGUACAGGAGCACAUGGGUCAUGUGUGUCAGAUGUUGUGAUCUGUGUACUUGGCCACAUACAUGGGGAAGUGAUCAUGGAUGCACGUGUACCACGGAAUCUUCUUACAACAUCCAGAUGCCUCGGCUUUUCUGUCAGAGUCCGUGCUCAAAAACCGUGUCCCCACAGACAGCAGGAAAUCGUGCUUAAUGCCUGAAAAGGGAAAUCUACAAACACUAUGAACAAAAGGUGUUUGUGGACAUCUGAAUUUGUAAGUGCUUUCUGAACGUCCCAUUCCACCUUUCGUCACCAUGUACAUAAAUGUUCCACUCUUCUGGGAAGAUGAUGUUCCACUAGAUUCUGGAGUCAACUCUUUGAUUCAUUCAGCUACAGGAGUGUUGGCAAAGUCAGAUCCUGGUGUUUGUGAGGACACCUGGGGUGCAGUCUUGAGCUUUACAGCAGGAGAUCUUCCACUCCAACCCAUGUAGAAGAUCUUCAUGGAGCUGGCUUUGUGCACAGGAACAUUGUCAUGCUGAAACAACAGGUUUGGGUGAAAGCAAAAUCUAAUUUAACUACAUCUGAAGACCUUCUUAACAACUUUGUGUAACAGUUUUAUAAGUCAGGUGUCCCAAAGCGUUUGUGUAAUUGAACUAUAAAGUGAAUAAAAAGCUGAUG